RNAcentral lists this long non-coding RNA (264 nucleotides) under Sus scrofa (pig). RNAcentral's name for it is "lncRNA (ENSSSCG00035016598.1)". Lineage: Eukaryota; Metazoa; Chordata; Mammalia; Artiodactyla; Suidae. The record is from RNAcentral.
UUUUUUUUGUUUUUUUUGUUUUUUUUGUUUUUGAAGCACCUUAGGAGUUCUGAUGCAGAACCACGGUUGAGAAAUGCAGCGGGAAGGUUGUGUUCUUUGUUCUCUGGCUUUACUAGCAAGGUAUUGGAAUAAAGAUAACCGUAGCUUCCUGUGAACAUGUCAGUUCUGAUAUCACAGAGUGUAAUAAAUUAUGUCGAAGAAGAAAACAUUCCUGCUUUGAAAGCACUUCUUGAAAAAUGCAAAGAUGUGGAUGAGAGAAAUGAG